AUGAACGCUGACAGAAUGCUUAACACAUGCCCGUCUUUGGCGAAGCUGUGCUUGCACAGCCUAGCCAAGGCGGACGGGUGAGUAACGCGUAAGGAACUUGCCCUGCAGUCAGGGAUAACAGACGGAAACGACUGAUAAGACCUGGUAAAGUCAGGCGGACUCAUGUCCAGCCUGAUGAAAAGAGAUGCUGCAGGAGAGCCUUGCGUCCUAUUAGCUUGUUGGUGGGGUAACGGCCCACCAAGGCGAUGAUAGGUAGCCGGCCUGAGAGGGUGGACGGCCACAAGGGGACUGAGAUACGGCCCUUACUCCUACGGGAGGCAGCAGUGGGGAAUAUUGGACAAUGGGGGCAACCCUGAUCCAGCAAUUCUGUGUGCACGAUGAAGGUUUUCGGAUUGUAAAGUGCUUUCAGCAGGGAAGAAAAAAUGACGGUACCUGCAGAAGAAGCGACGGCUAAAUACGUG
RNAcentral lists this ribosomal RNA (461 nucleotides) under uncultured bacterium. RNAcentral's name for it is "partial 16S ribosomal RNA". It matches the Rfam family "Bacterial small subunit ribosomal RNA", at positions 29 to 507 of the family's 1533-position model. The record is from RNAcentral.